This 1963-nucleotide ribosomal RNA is filed under the name human gut metagenome. RNAcentral describes it as "bacterial LSU rRNA". It matches the Rfam family "Bacterial large subunit ribosomal RNA", at positions 3 to 1991 of the family's 2925-position model. The record is from RNAcentral.
UCAAGCAAGAAAGAGCACAAGGAGAAUGCCUUGGCACUAGGAGCCGAUGAAAGACGUGGUAAGCUGCGAAAAGCUUCGGGGAGGCGCAAACAGCCAUCGAUCCGGAGAUAUCUGAAUGGGGAAACCUACUUGAGCAAACCUCAAGUAUCCAUACGUGAAUCCAUAGCGUAUGGAAGGGAACGCUGUGAACUGAAACAUCUAAGUAGCAGUAGGAGGAGAAAGAAAACUCGAUUUCCUAAGUAGCGGCGAGCGAACGGGAAAGAGGCCAAACCGAAGGACCUGGUUCUUCGGGGUUGCGGACUGCAAUUAGCAUUGCUGAGAGAUAGACGAAUGGUUUUGGGAAAGCCAGCCGUAGACGGUGAAAGCCCGGUAGACGAAAUCUUGAAGCAGCGAGCAGGAUCCAGAGUACCACGAGACACGAGAAACCUUGUGGGAAGCCGGGGGGACCACCCCCCAAGCCUAAAUACUCCCUAGUGACCGAUAGUGAAGCAGUACUGUGAAGGAAAGGUGAAAAGGACCCCGGGAGGGGAGUGAAAGAGAACCUGAAACCUUGUGCUUACAAACAGUCAAAGGCCUACGGGCUGAUGGCGUACUUUUUGUAGAACGGUCCGGCGAGUUACUAAUGCCAGCGAGGUUAAGAUGUCAGAAGCAUCGGAGCCGAAGGGAAACCAAGUCUGAAUAGGGCGUAGAGUUGGUAUUAGUAGACCCGAAACCGGGUGACCUAUCCAUGUCCAGGUUGAAGGAACCGUAAAAGGUUUUGGAGGACCGAACACACAUGUGUUGAAAAACGUGGUGAUGAGGUGUGGAUAGCGGAGAAAUUCCAAUCGAACUCGGAGAUAGCUGGUUCUCCUCGAAAUAGCUUUAGGGCUAGCCUCGAGCUGGAGUCUAACGGAGGUAAAGCACUGAACUGACGCGGGGCCCAAAAAGGUUACCAACUCAUAUCAAACUAAGAAUGCCGUCAAGAUACCCUCGGGAGUCAGUCUGCGUGAGAUAAGUCGCGUGGACAAAAGGGAAAGAGCCCAGACCGACAGCUAAGGUCCCAAAGUACGUGUUAAGUGGAAAAGGAUGUGGGAUUUCAUAGACAACUAGGAUGUUGGCUUAGAAGCAGCCAUACAUUUAAAGAGUGCGUAAUAGCUCACUAGUCGAGAAAACCUGCGCCGAAAAUGUAACGGGGCUAAAACACGACACCGAAGCUACGGAUUCCUUACAAAGUAAGGAGUGGUAGAGGAGCAUCCUGCAAGGACGAAGCCAAAGUGAGAGCGAUGGUGGACGAAACAGGAGAGAGAAUGCCGGAAUGAGUAGCGAGAUACAUGUGAGAAACAUGUAGGCCGAAUAUCUAAGGAUUCCUGGGUAAAGCUAAUCUUCCCAGGGUUAGUCGGGGCCUAAGGCGAGGACGAAAGUCGUAGUCGAUGGAUAACAGGUUGAUAUUCCUGUACUACACAUAAUCAGAACUGUGGGGACGCAGGAGGAUAGGGAAACCGGGGAAUGGAAAGACCCGGUCAAGCGUAAAGCUGUGGGAGAUAGGCAAAUCCGUCUUCUGUAAGUGAAACGUGAUGAGGACUGAAAAAAAGUAAGGAAGUUUCCGAAUCCACACUGCCGAGAAAAGCCGCUAUUGCGUUAUGUGUACCCGUACCGUAAACCGACACAGGUAGAUGAGGAGAAAAUCCACAGGCCGACGGGAGAAGUGUUGUUAAGGAACUCGGCAAAAUGACCCCGUAACUUCGGGAUAAGGGGAGCCUCGCAAGAGGCCGCAGAAAAGAGGCACAAGCAACUGUUUAGCAAAAACAUAGGUCUAUGCGAAACCGUAAGGUGAAGUAUAUGGGCUGACGCCUGCCCGGUGCUGGAAGGUUAAAAGGAGAGGUCAGCGCAAGCGAAGCUUUGAAUUCAAGCCCCAGUAAACGGCGGCCGUAACUAUAACGGUCCUAAGGUAGCGAAAUUCCUUGUCAGGUAAGUUCUGACCCGC